This 481-nucleotide ribosomal RNA is filed under the name Entamoeba moshkovskii. RNAcentral's name for it is "SSU rRNA". It matches the Rfam family "Eukaryotic small subunit ribosomal RNA", at positions 1117 to 1539 of the family's 1831-position model. The record is from RNAcentral. Lineage: Eukaryota; Evosea; Mastigamoebida; Endamoebidae.
GGGGGAGUAUGGUCACAAGGCUGAAACUUAAAGGAAUUGACGGAAGGGCACACCAGGAGUGGAGCCUGCGGCUUAAUUUGACUCAACACGGGAAAACUUACCAAGACCGAACAGUAGAAGGAAUGACAGAUUAAGAGUUCUUUCAUGAUUUAUUGGGUAGUGGUGCAUGGCCGUUCUUAGUUGGUGGAGUGAUUUGUCAGGUUAAUUCCGGUAACGAACGAGACUGAAACCUAUUAAUUAGUUUCCUGCCUAUACGACAGGAAUCUCCGCAAGGUCAGGUGCCUCGGUACCACUUCUUAAAGGGACACAUUUCAAUUGUCUCAUUUUAAUCGAUGUCUCUGGCUCCGGUCAGAACUCUUUUAACGUGAGAAAAAGAAAAAGGAAGCAUUCAGCAAUAACAGGUCUGUGAUGCCCUUAGACAUCUUGGGCCGCACGCGCGCUACAAUGGAGUUACUAGAGAGUAUUUUAUCAUCCAAGCCUU